AAACCCUACGUGAAGGAACUCGGCAAAUUAACCCCGUAAGUUCGCGAUAAGGGGUGCCCCCCGUAAGGGGGGCCACAGGAAAACGACAGCUGCGACUGUUUACUAAAAACACAGGUCUCUGCGAAGUCGUCAAAGACGACGUAUAGGGACUGACGCUUGCCCGCUGUUGGAACGUUAAGGUGACUGGUUAGCCGCAAGGCGAGGCUGGGAACCGAAGCGCCAAUGAAGGGCGGCCGUAACAAUGACGGUCCUAAGGUAGCGAAAUUCCUUGUCGGGUAAGUUCCGACCCGCACGAAUAGCGUAACGACAGCUGUACUGUCUCCACGAGGGACUCGGCGAAAUUGUAGUUGUGGUGAAGAUGCCACAUACCCGCACCAAGACGGAAAGACCCCGUGAACCUUUACUGUAACCUAAUACUGGCUCUAGGUUCGCCAUGUGUAGCAUAGGUGGGAGACGUUAAUGUCGGGGGCGCCAGCCUCCGAAUAGUCUUCAGUGAAAUACCACCCUUGGCGAUCUUGGAGUCUAACCUGCGACCGUUAUCCGGCGUGGGAACAGUGUUAGGCGGGCAGUUUGACUGGGGCGGUCUCCUCCUAAAAGGUAACGGAGGAGUGCAAAGGUACCCUCAAUGCGGUUGGCAAUCGCAUGAAGAGCGUAAAGGUAUAAGGGUGCUUGACUGCGAGACACAUAGGUCGAGCAGGUACGAAAGUAGGUCUUAGUGAUCCGGUGGUCCCGUGUGGAAGGGCCAUCGCUCAUCAGAUAAAAGGUACUCCGGGGAUAACAGGCUGAUCACGCCCAAGAGUCCAUAUCGACGGCGUGGUUUGGCACCUCGAUGUCGGCUCAUCGCAUCCUGGGGCUGAAGGCGGUCCCAAGGGUUGGUCUGUUCGCCCAUUAAAGCGGUACGUGAGCUGGGUUUAGACCGUCGUGAGACAGGUCGGUCCCUAUCUGGUGUGGGCGCAGGAUGAUUGCGGAGACUCUUUCCUAGUACGAGAGGAUUGGAAAGAACGGACCUCUGGUGUGCCAGUUGUCGCGCUAGCGGCAUCGCUGGAUAGCUAUGUCCGGGCUGGAUAAGCGCUGAAAGCAUCUAAGUGCGAAGCCAACUCCAAGACUGGUCAUCCCAUGAGACACCUGGUAGACCACCAGGUUGAUAGGCCGGAAGUGUAAGGACAGCAAUGUUCUCAGCUAACCGGUACUAACCAGUCGAUCGGCUUGAUCUA
This 1214-nucleotide ribosomal RNA is filed under the name metagenome. RNAcentral describes it as "bacterial LSU rRNA". It matches the Rfam family "Bacterial large subunit ribosomal RNA", at positions 1695 to 2925 of the family's 2925-position model. The record is from RNAcentral.